UACAGCGUAGUUACUUAGUUU
Molecule: non-coding RNA, 21 nt
Filed under: Caenorhabditis elegans
Lineage: Eukaryota; Metazoa; Nematoda; Chromadorea; Rhabditida; Rhabditidae
Source: RNAcentral